This 253-nucleotide ribosomal RNA is filed under the name uncultured bacterium. RNAcentral describes it as "partial 16S ribosomal RNA". It matches the Rfam family "Bacterial small subunit ribosomal RNA", at positions 524 to 776 of the family's 1533-position model. The record is from RNAcentral.
UACGUAGGGUGCGAGCGUUGCCCGGAUUUAUUGGGCGUAAAGGGCGCGUAGGCGGUCACGCACGUCCGUUGUGAAAUCGCUCGGCUCAACUGGGCGGGGUCAGCGGAUACGGCGUGGCUGGAGCAAGCUAGGGGGCAAUGGAAUUCCCGGUGUAGUGGUGGAAUGCAUAGAUAUCGGGAGGAACACCAGUGGCGAAGGCGGUUGCCUGGAGCUUUGCUGACGCUGAUGCGCGAAAGCGUGGGGAGCGAUCCGG